RNAcentral lists this ribosomal RNA (433 nucleotides) under uncultured bacterium. Its description in RNAcentral is "partial 16S ribosomal RNA". It matches the Rfam family "Bacterial small subunit ribosomal RNA", at positions 29 to 507 of the family's 1533-position model. The record is from RNAcentral.
AACGAACGCUGGCGGCAGGCCUAACACAUGCAAGUCGAGCGAGGACUUCGGUCCUGGCGGCGGACGGGUGAGUAACGCGUGGGAACGUGCCCUUUGCUUCGGAAUAGCCCUGGGAAACUGGGAGUAAUACCGGAUGAGCCCUUUGGGGGAAAGAUUUAUCGGCGAAGGAUCGGCCCGCGUUGGAUUAGGUAGUUGGUGGGGUAAUGGCCUACCAAGCCGACGAUCCAUAGCUGGUUUGAGAGGAUGAUCAGCCACACUGGGACUGAGACACGGCCCAGACUCCUACGGGAGGCAGCAGUGGGGAAUCUUAGACAAUGGGGGAAACCCUGAUCUAGCCAUGCCGCGUGAGCGAUGAAGGCCUUAGGGUUGUAAAGCUCUUUCAGCUGGGAAGAUAAUGACGGUACCAGCAGAAGAAGCCCCGGCUAACUCCGUG